UAUCGUACAACAGAGGCACAAGGGCUGUCGCUGAUCUUUAAAAGGUUGUGCACGCCCAAGUGCUCUCACACACAUCCAUCUCACCCCUUGUGCAUCACCGCGUGGGUCCCCCCUUACGGGAGGGUUCACGUCUUCACAUAAAACUUAAUGCAGUAUAGAAUGUUUUCUUUUUUGUUUGCGGUCACACGCAAUAAAUACAACUUUCAACAACGGAUCUCUUGGCUCUCGCAUCGAUGAAGAACGCAGCGAAAUGCGAUAAGUAAUGUGAAUUGCAGAAUUCAGUGAAUCAUCGAAUCUUUGAACGCACCUUGCGCCCCUUGGCUAUUCCGAGGAGCAUGCCUGUUUGAGUAUCAUGAACACCUCAACUCUCAUGGUUUGCCGUGAUGAGCUUGGACUUUGGAGGUUUUGCUGGCCCAUGGUCGGCUCCUCUCAAACAGAUUAGCUUGCCAGUUUUCGGUGGCGUCACAGGUGUGAUAACUAUCUACGCUCGUGGUCGUCUGCUGGUUAACCUUUCGGUGACGGAGGUUUGCUGGAGCUUAUAAAUGUCUCUCCUCAGCGAAGACAGCUAUUUGAACGUUUG
RNAcentral lists this unclassified non-coding RNA (580 nucleotides) under Tomentella sp. 1 CG-2012. RNAcentral's name for it is "sequence contains ITS1, 5.8S rRNA gene, ITS2". The stretch from base 199 to 353 matches the Rfam family "5.8S ribosomal RNA". Lineage: Eukaryota; Fungi; Basidiomycota; Agaricomycetes; Thelephorales; Thelephoraceae. The record is from RNAcentral.